Molecule: ribosomal RNA, 451 nt
Filed under: uncultured bacterium
Lineage: Bacteria
Description: partial 16S ribosomal RNA
Rfam family: Bacterial small subunit ribosomal RNA
Source: RNAcentral
GAUGAACGCUGGCGGCGUGCCUAAUACAUGCAAGUCGAACGAGUUCUUCGGAACUAGUGGCGGACGGGUGAGUAACACGUUGGUACCUGCCUCGAAGUGGGGAAUAACUGGCCGAAAGGUCGGCUAAUACCGCAUGUGACCGCAACGUUAAAGCAGUAAUGCGCUUCGAGAGGGGCCUGCGUCUGAUUAGCUAGUUGGUAGGGUAAAAGCCUACCAAGGCGACGAUCAGUAGCUGGAUCGAGAGGUUGACCAGCCACACUGGGACUGAGAUACGGCCCAGACUCCUACGGGAGGCAGCAGUAAGGAAUCUUCCACAAUGGACGAAAGUCUGAUGGAGCAACGCCGCGUGCAGGAUGACGGUCUUCGGAUUGUAAACUGCUUUUGUAUGGGAAGAUUAUGACGGUACCAUGCGAAUAAGGACCGGCUAACUACGUGCCAGCCGCCGCUGUAA